Molecule: unclassified non-coding RNA, 421 nt
Filed under: Hevea brasiliensis (rubber tree)
Lineage: Eukaryota; Viridiplantae; Streptophyta; Magnoliopsida; Malpighiales; Euphorbiaceae
Source: RNAcentral
AGGGGUUUGAAAAAGAAUAGUGGCUGAAAUGCCGGAGAAUAAGGCAUCAACACCUUCAGCCUGUACAAUGAAGAUGCCGAAAGAGAAUGAGAUUAAAGGCAAAGCAAAGUGUGGUUUGUAGAUUUGGUGGUGAGGAUUCGGCAAGCUCGGGCAUGUACAAUGGAUUUGCUUCUAUUGUUGCUGCCUGCUCCGCUCAUCCUCUCAGUCUGAUUAAGGUACAUGCUAAACGAGAAAGAGAGAGGAAGAUAGAAGAGGAAGCCAAUCGAAGACUCACAGUAACAACCCCACCAACGAAGGUUGUGUGCUUGCUUUAGUGCUUAAUUCAUUCAAAGGAGAAGAGAAAUGCUUCCUGAUGAGAUCCGCUUGAUACUGAGAUUGAAAAGAAAUGGGGUAAUGUUUGAGUUGGGAUGAAUUAUUGGGU